This 210-nucleotide long non-coding RNA is filed under the name Drosophila guanche. The record is from RNAcentral. Lineage: Eukaryota; Metazoa; Arthropoda; Insecta; Diptera; Drosophilidae.
CAGAGGAGAUGAGAGACAGAGGAAAAUGCCAGAUGGGGCUGGCAGUGGAGGCUACCAAAGGCACUACUACUUCCUGUGUAUCCAUCCGGCAUAAGCCGCUCCUGCUCCAUGCUGUUCCUGCAGGAAAGGAAAAAAGGGUUGCGCAACAAUUUUUCUACUUGGCAGCAUCUCCCCUCCUUUCAGCCCCCAUACCCCAAGCCCAUACCCGGC